CUAAGGCCAACGGGAGAAGGGUUGUUAAGGAACUCGGCAAAUUGACCCCGUAACUUCGGGAGAAGGGGUGCUCCAGAGAUGGAGCCGCAGAGAAUCGGCCCAAGCAACUGUUUACCAAAAACACAGGUUUGUGCUAAAUCGAAAGAUGACGUAUACGAGCUGACGCCUGCCCGGUGCUGGAAGGUUAAGAGGAGAUGUGCAAGCAUUGAAUCGAAGCCCCAGUGAACGGCGGCCGUAACUAUAACGGUCCUAAGGUAGCGAAAUUCCUUGUCAGGUAAGUUCUGACCCGCAUGAAAGGCGUAAUGAUUUGGGCACUGUCUCAACAGCCCGCCCGGCGAAAUUGUAGUACCGGUGAAGAUGCCGGUUACCCGCGACAAGACGGAAAGACCCCAUGGAGCUUUACUGUAGCCUAAUAUUGGGUUUCGAUGUUGCAUGCACAGGAUAGAUGGGACUCUUGGAAACCAAGGCUUUGGCUUUGGCGGAGAGGCCGUUGGGAUACCAUCCUUGCGAUAUUGGAAUUCUAACCUGCGGCUCUGAAUCGAGUCGGGGGACAUUGUUAGGUGGGCAGUUUGACUGGGGCGGUCGCCUCCUAAAGAGUAACGGAGGCGUUCAAAGGUUCGCUCAGCUUGAACGGAAAUCAAGCAAAAGAGUGCAAACGCAGAAGCGAGCCUAACUGCGAGACUGACGGGUCGAGCAGUAACGAAAGUUGGAGUUAGUGAUCCGGUGGUAUGUGAGUGGAAAUGCCAUCGCUCAACGGAUAAAAGUUACCCUGGGGAUAACAGGCUGAUCUCCCCCAAGAGUCCACAUCGACGGGGAGGUUUGGCACCUCGAUGUCGGCUCAUCGCAUCCUGGGGCUGUAUUCGGUCCCAAGGGUUUGGCUGUUCGCCAAUUAAAGCGGUACGCGAGCUGGGUUCAGAACGUCGUGAGACAGUUCGGUCCCUAUCUGUCGUGGGCGCAGGAUAUUUGAUGGGAGCUGUCCCUAGUACGAGAGGACCGGGACGGACGUACCUCUGGCGCACCAGUUGUUCCGCCAGGAGCAUAGCUGGGCAACUACGUACGGAUCGGAUAAACGCUGAAAGCAUCUAAGCGUGAAGCCGACCCAAAGAUAAGAUAUCCCACUGAUUGAAUCAGGUAAGAUCCCUUGUAGACUACGAGGUUGAUAGGCACGAUGUGUAAGUGGAGCGAUCCAUUCAGCAAGUGUGUACUAAUAGAUCGAGGGCUUGACCAC
Molecule: ribosomal RNA, 1228 nt
Filed under: human gut metagenome
Description: bacterial LSU rRNA
Rfam family: Bacterial large subunit ribosomal RNA
Source: RNAcentral